Molecule: non-coding RNA, 30 nt
Filed under: Homo sapiens (human)
Lineage: Eukaryota; Metazoa; Chordata; Mammalia; Primates; Hominidae
Source: RNAcentral
UGCGAAACAGCAGUUACCGCAGGCCAUGGA